Molecule: ribosomal RNA, 484 nt
Filed under: uncultured bacterium
Lineage: Bacteria
Description: partial 16S ribosomal RNA
Rfam family: Bacterial small subunit ribosomal RNA
Source: RNAcentral
AUUGAACGCUGGCAGCAGGCCUAACACAUGCAAGUCGAGCGGAUGAAGGGAGCUUGCUCCUGGAUUCAGCGGCGGACGGGUGAGUAAUGCCUAGGAAUCUGCCUGGUAGUGGGGGAUAACGUCCGGAAACGGGCGCUAAUACCGCAUACGUCCUGAGGGAGAAAGUGGGGGAUCUUCGGACCUUACGCUAUCAGAUGAGCCUAGGUCGGAUUAGCUAGUUGGUGGGGUAAAGGCCUACCAAGGCGACGAUCCGUAACUGGUCUGAGAGGAUGAUCAGUCACACUGGAACUGAGACACGGUCCAGACUCCUACGGGAGGCAGCAGUGGGGAAUAUUGGACAAUGGGCGAAAGCCUGAUCCAGCCAUGCCGCGUGUGUGAAGAAGGUCUUCGGAUUGUAAAGCACUUUAAGUUGGGAGGAAGGGCAGUAAGUUAAUACCUUGCUGUUUUGACGUUACCAACAGAAUAAGCACCGGCUAACUUCGUG